RNAcentral lists this ribosomal RNA (254 nucleotides) under uncultured bacterium. RNAcentral's name for it is "partial 16S ribosomal RNA". It matches the Rfam family "Bacterial small subunit ribosomal RNA", at positions 524 to 776 of the family's 1533-position model. The record is from RNAcentral.
GACGAACCGUGCGAACGUUAUUCGGAAUCACUGGGCUUAAAGCGCGUGUAGGCGGCCCGGCACGUCAUCGGCUGAAAUCCCCCGGCUCAACCGGGGAAGGGGCCAUGAUACGACCGGGCUGGAGGGGGGUAGGGGGGACGGGAACUCACGGUGGAGCGGUGAAAUGCGUUGAGAUCGUGAGGAACGCCCGCGGCGAAAGCGCGUCCCUGGACCCCGCCUGACGCUGAGACGCGAAAGCCAGGGGAGCGAACGGG